GUUAUCUCCACAGGAUCAACGUCAUAACGGCGGGGGCUCAGGUCCAAUUCCACGCGCUGUUCCAAUGGUUUCUCCGAACGGCCCGACUGAAGAACCAAAACCGCAUGGCUUUUCGGCUCUGGUCGCCGCAGGAACGAACAAAAACAGAACCAGAGGCUACCCGACACCCUCGCUGCUCCGCUCUUCCUCCAAUGGCGCGGCCGCUCCCCGCCUCCUCCCUAUUCUUGGAAACGAGUCGCUCCGAGAAAAAUAACCAAACUUCCGAUCCUCGCUGGGGCUCCCGCCCCCCACCCCAAACUCCGUCCUCCUCCUCCCGCCCGGCCCCAUUUUUAUGGCAUAAAUCCCCAAGCCCUACCACCUCUAUUCCUGAGAUGGCUUGCUGUCUUUCGCUCCUCCUCGCCGUGGCUCUACGGCUCGCCUUCCCGGCCUUCGCCGAAACCGACCAACAUGAUGGUCAAUAGAUUACAUACUGGUGUCUCAUAUUCCUCAGAAGUUGAAGUUCAAGAACCAACUUUCUAGUGAGGUAGGCGUAGUUACUGAGUUAAAUUAGUAUCCGAAUUACCGUGCUUCUUUAUUACAAUGAAGACAAUGCAUCCAUCAGUCUACUUGACUGUGAAAAGAUAGACAGACUGCUCAAUAUUUUCCCCCAAAAGAACAAUCCUUAUAGUUUUAGAGUCGUUAAUAGGUUGGAAUAAAUUGUUGCCUGCUAGAGGCCCUACCAACUAGAUAAGACUGACAUCAACUCCUAAAAAAGAUUAUUUAGAUGUUAAUAAAGUUAGUUUAAAAAGAAUUUUUUAAAAGUUUUUUGCAUGAUUAUAUCAUUCUUUAUUUUCAAAUAAAUUCAAGAGCAUUCAUAUUUCAUUUUUAUUGUUCAUGCAUACACCGAAAAGAGAGAGAUGUGCUUGCCACUGAGAUGUUGUUUCUCCAAUGUUCUUUUAUUCUGUUUUCUCAUGGAGAAAGGCUUACAAGGUUGUUUUAUGGGCAAGCACUUUUGUCGUUACAACAGCAGCAUCGCACCUUUCCAGCUACGCCAGUUUCGAAGCAAUGGGAAUUCUCAUACUUUGGUCCACAAAAGCGUUCGCAGCCACCAGGCUCACAAGAUGGCCCGCUAAAAUCUUGGCAAAAGGGUUCCUCAGCAUGAACAGCUGUAGAAUGUAGCAAAUAAGGAUACAAGUUAGAAAA
Long non-coding RNA from Phoenix dactylifera (date palm), 1182 nucleotides. RefSeq lists it as uncharacterized. Lineage: Eukaryota; Viridiplantae; Streptophyta; Magnoliopsida; Arecales; Arecaceae. The record is from RefSeq and is a predicted model, not a curated record.